UAGUGUCGGAGAGAAGUUGUUAAGCAAGCUGCCUGGGAAGUACGGUCGCAAGACUGAAACUUAAAGGAAUUGGCGGGGAGCACAGCAACGGGUGGAGCGCGCGGUUUAAUUGGAUUCAACGCCGGAAAACUCACCGGAGGCGACGGUUACAUGAAGGCCAGGCUGAUGACCUUGCUUGAUUUUCCGAGAGGUGGUGCAUGGCCGCCGUCAGUUCGUACCGUAAGGCGUUNUGUUAAGUCAGACAACGAACGAGACCCUCAUCUUUAAUUGCUACUGGUAAGUCCGCUUACUGGGCACAUUAGAGAAACCGCUGGCGAUAAGUCAGAGGAAGGCGAGGGCAACGGUAGGUCAGUAUGCCCUGAAUCCUCCGGGCUACACGCGCGCUACAAAGGCUAGGACAAUGGGUUUCAACACCGAGAGGUGAAGGUAAUCUCGAAACCUAGUCAUAGUUCGGAUUGAGGGUUGAAACUCACCCUCAUGAAGCUGGAAUCCGUAGUAAUCGCGGAUCAAAAUCCCGCGGUGAAUAUGCCCCUGCUCCUUGCACACACCGCCCGCCAAACCAUGCGAG
Molecule: ribosomal RNA, 568 nt
Filed under: uncultured euryarchaeote
Lineage: Archaea; Methanobacteriati; Methanobacteriota
Description: bacterial SSU rRNA
Rfam family: Archaeal small subunit ribosomal RNA
Source: RNAcentral